Phragmites australis (common reed) is the source of this 116-nucleotide small nuclear RNA. RefSeq annotates it as U5 spliceosomal RNA. The record is from RefSeq and is a predicted model, not a curated record. The transcript has a single exon. Lineage: Eukaryota; Viridiplantae; Streptophyta; Magnoliopsida; Poales; Poaceae.
AGUUGCGCUGUGAGCACAAAGCGAACUAUUCUUUCGCCUUUUACUAAAGAAUAUCGUGUGCGCGCCGCAAAUAGCAGCAUACAAGAUCUACCGCAGGUGCAGACUUGUCGUGCCCA